UCCAGAGUUGCUAAUGGUUAUCUUCCAUGGUCAAGUUUUCCAGAAUGAGCCAGCAGUGGAAUGGCAUGCCCUGAGACCAGCAGACCCACUGGUCACAGGACAGGUGUUGAAGGCACCUAAGCAGCAGGUCCACUGAGAAGUCAAGUAAAGAUUGGACACAUCUGGGACCUCCAUGGGGAACCAGUGGGAGCUACAGAGAUCCAGAAGCAGAGGUGUUUGCACAUCCCCGCUCUCCAGAAAUACAGUGAGGGCAGAGUGGCGCUGGGCCUCUUGUGGAAGACUCAAGCCCUGGACAGAAAGCCUCUCCAGUCCUAGGGCAGCCGUUUAUUUUAAACCGAAUUUCACUCUCAAACCCUGGCUAACCUUUUGCAGCAUACCCAAAUGACACAGAAUCCAACCUACCAGGAAAAUAUCCCUGAACACUGGAAAUAUUCAGUAAAAGGGAUUUCAUCUUGCAAACCCAGAAAAACAUAAUAAAACUUUCAUUGUCGGGGACACAAAAUGAUAACUUCUGGAUUAAUGAACACUCCGGACAAAGAACAAUGAAAAGUCUGCCUUUCAAGGUUCCUGGUGAUAACUGUAGCUGUGAUAUCUCAAGAAUGAAAGGAUCACAAGGAUAUCACAACAAACCAGAGCCGUCCUGUCCACUGCUACCUCAUCCUCCCACAUGAUGCUAGUGAGCCCUCGAAAUCGGACUGAUCCAGAUGGAGCUGUGCUGUAAGUGUAAAAUGCACACUGGACUGCAAAGACUUAGUUUAAAAAGAAAAAAAAAUGUCAUCAAUAUAGAAAAAAAUGUUCACAACAAUUACCUACCGAGAUAAUAUUUUUGCAUAAACUGAGUGGAAACACGUGUUAUUUUCACAUGUAUCUGUUUACUUUUUACUCUGGAUACUAGAAAAUAAUUGGGCAGAACUCAAGUCAUUUUGAAAAAUAAUUGUUUGAAGUAUUGCAUGCUAGAAAGAAAAGAACAUUCAGCAACAUGCACUGGUAUGUUAAUACAAUUUUCUGAUAGAAAAAUGCGAUAUAACAAGCCACUCAAUAUAUCCCUCCCCAAAAUACACAGUUAGGAAAACAAGAGCAUCUCUCUGGAUGAACUGAAUCUUCUGUGCCACUCUAAUCUAAUAGUAAGUAGCAUCAGUUUCUUUCCGCCUCCAUUUUUCUCUGAUUGGCAGAACACUUGGCCUAAAAUUCAAUUACCUCAACUGUAGGCUUCUUAGGGAGGGCCUUGGUUUUCUGGUUCGGUUUUACCCCAGUCCCUAUUUAUUACUCACCUUGGUUCUGCCCCUUACUUUAACAGUCUUAUUGUAAGUUAGCAAAAAAGCUAUUUGGAACUAAAAGCUAAAUAGCAAAUAAGAAAGUGAACGAACUCCUUACUAUGGUGUGACCAAUGAGACACCACUGUCCAGUGUGGGGAGACUCAUUACAUUGGUGACCCUUCUCCCUGUGACAGGCAUGAAGCACAAUGCACACUUAGUAAUACUGGGCCAGUAUUCACAUUUAAGAUCAUAAAAACAGAGCUGACCCCAUCAAUGGCUAUCACCCAAGGCUCAGUGAGAUAGACAGGCACAAUAUUCAAAGGGCACAGUGAGUCCUGAAGUCAUAUACACAGCUAUAGGUAAUACGGUAUCAUCUUAGACAGAAAGAAGCGACUAUCUGGAUACCUAGAAGUCAGGCAGUGGUGGUCAUUACCAGAGCUGACCAUAUACUGUGAGACACCACAGCACAGAGUGAGGACAUAGAGACAGCACUCAAGGAUCCAAGGAGACAGCAGAGACCUAGUCCCAUGAAGAGACAAAAGGGUAACAUUUCUGUGACUAUGGGCCACCCAGGUCCCUGGACGAGGCCCAGAGUCAUGGCCUCUCAGAUCUAGGGGACCACACAGAUUCAAGGUGAGAAUGAGCAGCAAUAUGGAGCCCAGCAGUUGUAGCUGGGCUACCAGAUGUGCCCACUGAGGAAGAAAAAGUCAAAGGCUCUACAUAUGCUUCCUAUUGUUGUUGGAUUUGGUCCAGGGACUGAUGGGCUUGGCUGCAGGUGGGAGCACCAGUCCAUUCAGCGAAACUUUGUUCAAAUGCAGGGCAAGAAAGGGAGAUGGCAGAGGUGCCUCUCUUAUAAAGUGGAGGAAUAAUACUGGUUCCUAUGCAACUCUUAUUCCAAAAUUAAUGUUUCAAGGAUAUUUAAGCUACCUAGGAAAAAAACGCUUCCCAAAUAGCCUGCCAAAUUUAUGAAAAAUCCACUGCUUCCUGUUAAUCCCUAUUCCUUUCCAAGAAAUGCUUGUAAUACUAUUUAAUAGUGUUAUAGAUUUAGACUAACACGGUAUAAUCUUAAGCCUGUAGGAAAAGUACAGAAUAUGUGGAAUGUUAUAUAACCUUAAGAGUCCUUAUAAUAAAUUCAUUUUAAAUAAGUGAAUAAAAAUAAGAAAUAAGUAAUAACUUUCCCAGAUAUACAAAGAUAAGACAGGAUACAGAAAAGAUCAUGGUCAUACAACAGUCAGGACCACACAGUCACAAAUUAUUAGAAGACAAGAAAGAAAUAUUCUAAAUCAACUAUACUACUGAUAUAGACUUGUAUGUUUUCUUAAAACUGUUAAACGACUUAAAACACACACAAAAAAGGUUUAUAUUUCAGAAAAUCAAAAUUAACAAAAUGUUAAAACACACAAUUAACAACAACAACAACAACAACAACAACAAAACAAAAACAAAAGCAAUGCGGAAAAGUCUUAGGAUCUGAUUAAUAAUAAAUGACCUGUUCAAUCUAAAAUGUAUUAUUUCGGGGCGCCUGGGUGGCUCAGUCGGUUAAGCGGCCGACUUCAGCUGAGGUC
This is a long non-coding RNA of Puma concolor (puma), 2821 nucleotides long. RefSeq lists it as uncharacterized. The record is from RefSeq and is a predicted model, not a curated record. NCBI's taxonomy places the organism in Eukaryota, Metazoa, Chordata, Mammalia, Carnivora, Felidae.